CGAUACUGACUCCAUCUGUCAACUUCGUUUAGACUUUGCCGCCCUCAGCCACACGCCGGGGUGCCAGACGCCCAAAGGCGCAAAGUUAAGUCGUGUAGAGGAUUCUCGAACUCCUGCGAGGCCUUUCUAAAUGUGGACGGCGAGAACUCAGUGCUGGGGCCUGGGGGUGUCAGCGUGAUUGAGGAAAUGCUGGAAGAGCACCAGCCUGCAC
Molecule: long non-coding RNA, 211 nt
Filed under: Homo sapiens (human)
Lineage: Eukaryota; Metazoa; Chordata; Mammalia; Primates; Hominidae
Description: HSALNT0099535
Source: RNAcentral